RNAcentral lists this ribosomal RNA (381 nucleotides) under Staphylococcus sp. HMSC34G04. RNAcentral's name for it is "bacterial SSU rRNA". It matches the Rfam family "Bacterial small subunit ribosomal RNA", at positions 145 to 513 of the family's 1533-position model. The record is from RNAcentral. Lineage: Bacteria; Bacillati; Bacillota; Bacilli; Caryophanales; Staphylococcaceae.
AACUUCGGGAAACCGGAGCUAAUACCGGAUAAUAUAUUGAACCGCAUGGUUCAAUAGUGAAAGACGGUUUUGCUGUCACUUAUAGAUGGAUCCGCGCCGCAUUAGCUAGUUGGUAAGGUAACGGCUUACCAAGGCAACGAUGCGUAGCCGACCUGAGAGGGUGAUCGGCCACACUGGAACUGAGACACGGUCCAGACUCCUACGGGAGGCAGCAGUAGGGAAUCUUCCGCAAUGGGCGAAAGCCUGACGGAGCAACGCCGCGUGAGUGAUGAAGGUCUUCGGAUCGUAAAACUCUGUUAUUAGGGAAGAACAAAUGUGUAAGUAACUAUGCACGUCUUGACGGUACCUAAUCAGAAAGCCACGGCUAACUACGUGCCAGCA